Molecule: ribosomal RNA, 497 nt
Filed under: uncultured bacterium
Lineage: Bacteria
Description: partial 16S ribosomal RNA
Rfam family: Bacterial small subunit ribosomal RNA
Source: RNAcentral
GAUGAACGCUGGCGGCGUGCCUAAUACAUGCAAGUCGAGCGAACAGACGAGGAGCUUGCUCCUCUGACGUUAGCGGCGGACGGGUGAGUAACACGUGGAUAACCUACCUAUAAGACUGGGAUAACUUCGGGAAACCGGAGCUAAUACCGGAUAAUAUAUUGAACCGCAUGGUUCAAUAGUGAAAGACGGUUUUGCUGGCACUUAUAGAUGGAUCCGCGCCGCAUUGGCUAGUUGGUAAGGUAACGGCUUACCAAGGCAACGAGGCGUAGCCGACCUGAGAGGGUGAUCGGCCACACUGGAACUGAGACACGGUCCAGACUCCUACGGGAGGCAGCAGUAGGGAAUCUUCCGCAAUGGGCGAAAGCCUGACGGAGCAACGCCGCGUGAGUGAUGAAGGUCUUCGGAUCGUAAAACUCUGUUAUUAGGGAAGAACAAAUGUGUAAGUAACUAUGCACGUCUUGACGGUACCUAAUCAGAAAGCCACGGCUAACUACGUG